AAAGGUGCCAAAGAUGACUUGACACAGGUGAGCUCGACUUUGGAGAACAGUGAGUUAUCAACCAGCACCAACAGUUUAACCGACAACAAAUCAUUAAAGGUUACGGACAAAGCGGCCAUGUUUGAAGGGGUCCUGA
This is a long non-coding RNA of Thalassophryne amazonica, 136 nucleotides long. RefSeq lists it as uncharacterized. The transcript is spliced from 3 exons. Lineage: Eukaryota; Metazoa; Chordata; Actinopteri; Batrachoidiformes; Batrachoididae. The record is from RefSeq and is a predicted model, not a curated record.